This 245-nucleotide ribosomal RNA is filed under the name uncultured bacterium. Its description in RNAcentral is "partial 16S ribosomal RNA". It matches the Rfam family "Bacterial small subunit ribosomal RNA", at positions 524 to 768 of the family's 1533-position model. The record is from RNAcentral.
UACAGAGGUGGCAAGCGUUACUCGGAAUUAUUGGGUGUAAAGGGCAGGUAGGUGGCCUAGUAAGUGAGGGGUGAAAUACUGCGGUUCAAUCGCAGAACAGCCUUUCAAACUGCAUGGCUUGAGAGAAAUAGAGGAAGAUGGAAUUCCCGGUGUAAGGGUGAAAUCUGUAGAUAUCGGGAAGAACACCAACGGCGAAGGCAAUCUUCUGGGUUUCUUCUGACACUGAACUGCGAAAGCUAGGGGAG